UGCCUUACACAUGCAAGUCGAACGCGAAAGGGGGCAACCCUGAGUAGAGUGGCGAACGGGUGAGUAAUACAUCGGAACAUACCCAGUAGUGGGGGAUAACCAGUCGAAAGACUGGCUAAUACCGCAUACGACCUACGGGUGAAAGCGGGGGACCGCAAGGCCUCGCGCUAUUGGAUUGGCCGAUGUCCGAUUAGCUUGUUGGCGGGGUAAAAGCCCACCAAGGCGACGAUCGGUAGCUGGUCUGAGAGGAUGAUCAGCCACACUGGGACUGAGACACGGCCCAGACUCCUACGGGAGGCAGCAGUGGGGAAUUUUGGACAAUGGGCGCAAGCCUGAUCCAGCCAUGCCGCGUGUGUGAAGAAGGCCUUCGGGUUGUAAAGCAC
This 383-nucleotide ribosomal RNA is filed under the name uncultured organism. Its description in RNAcentral is "bacterial SSU rRNA". It matches the Rfam family "Bacterial small subunit ribosomal RNA", at positions 45 to 433 of the family's 1533-position model. The record is from RNAcentral.